GACGAACGCUGGCGGCGUGCUUAACACAUGCAAGUCGAACGGAAAGGCCCUGCUUUUGUGGGGUGCUCGAGUGGCGAACGGGUGAGUAACACGUGAGUAACCUGCCCUUGACUUUGGGAUAACUUCAGGAAACUGGGGCUAAUACCGGAUAGGAGCUCCUGCUGCAUGGUGGGGGUUGGAAAGUUUCGGCGGUUGGGGAUGGACUCGCGGCUUAUCAGCUUGUUGGUGGGGUAGUGGCUUACCAAGGCUUUGACGGUUAGCCGGCCUGAGGGGGUGAACGGCCGCAUUGGUGCUGAUAAGCGGCCGAGCCUCCUACGGGAGGCAGCAGUGGGGGAUAUUGCAGAAUGGGCGGAGGCCUGAUGCAGCAACGCCGCGUGCGGGGUGACGGCCUUCGGGGUGUAAACCGCUUUCGCCUGUGACGAAGCGUGAGUGACGGUCAGGGGUAAAGAAGCCCCGUCUAACUACG
This 466-nucleotide ribosomal RNA is filed under the name uncultured bacterium. RNAcentral's name for it is "partial 16S ribosomal RNA". It matches the Rfam family "Bacterial small subunit ribosomal RNA", at positions 28 to 505 of the family's 1533-position model. The record is from RNAcentral.